CCUGGGUUUUCUCUAGUUGCGGCGAGUGGGGGCUACUCUUCGCUGCGGUGCGCGGGCUUCUCAUUGCAGUGGCUUCUCUUGUUGCGGAGCACGGGCUCUAGGCAUGCGGGCUUCAGUAGUUGUGGCUCGCGGGCUCUAGAGUGCAGGCUCAGCAGUGUGGUGCAUGGGCUUAAUUGCUCCACGGCAUGUGGGAUCUUCCUGGACCAGGGCUCGAACCCGUAUCCCCUGCAUUGGCAGGCGGAUUCUUAACCACUGUGCCACCAGGGAAGUCCCUAGAAGGCAUCUUCGAGGAGAUGAUUUCUGAGCAAAGAUCAAAUGAAGCAAGACUGAGGAGAAUUCCAUGUUACAGUAACAGCAAAGUCACAGAUUGUCAAAGGAGUGAUCCUUGGGCACUGCAUCAGAUCUACUAAGUCAGAAUCUUGAGGGUGAAGCCCAGUAAUACAUACUUUUCACAAGUACUUCAGCUCUGCUCCUUGAUGUCUGCAGCCUGGUUGCUCCCCCAGUGCUCUCACCCACCAGCCUCACCCUGGAGCAGAUCCCAACCAAACGAACCUUUUUUGAGCACCUGCUGUGUGCCUGGUGGAUGCUGUGCAUCUUUGUGAAGCCACCCAAGUAGGUUUUCAGAAGAUUAUGGUUUAAAUAAAUAAAAACUUAUUAUUUCAGGCACAGGC
Molecule: long non-coding RNA, 671 nt
Organism: Lagenorhynchus albirostris (white-beaked dolphin)
Lineage: Eukaryota; Metazoa; Chordata; Mammalia; Artiodactyla; Delphinidae
Exons: 3
Source: RefSeq, a predicted model, not a curated record